UACGGGAGGCAGCAGUGGGGAAUAUUGCACAAUGGGCGCAAGCCUGAUGCAGCCAUGCCGCGUGUAUGAAGAAGGCCUUCGGGUUGUAAAGUACUUUCAGUCGUGAGGAAGGUGUUAAGGUUAAUAACCUUAGCAAUUGACGUUAGCGACAGAAGAAGCACCGGCUAACUCCGUGCCAGCAGCCGCGGUAAUACGGAGGGUGCGAGCGUUAAUCGGAAUUACUGGGCGUAAAGGGCACGCAGGCGGUUAAUUAAGUUGGAUGUGAAAUCCCCGGGCUUAACCUGGGAAUGGCAUUCAAGACUGGUUAGCUAGAGUCUUGUAGAGGGGGUAGAAUUCCGAUGUGUAGCGGUGAAAUGCGUAGAGAUGUGGAGGAAUACCGGUGGCGAAGGCGGCCCCUGGACAAAGACUGACGCUCAUGUGCGAAAGCGUGGGGAGCAAACAGGGAUUAGAU
This 451-nucleotide ribosomal RNA is filed under the name uncultured bacterium. RNAcentral's name for it is "bacterial SSU rRNA". It matches the Rfam family "Bacterial small subunit ribosomal RNA", at positions 340 to 783 of the family's 1533-position model. The record is from RNAcentral.